UAUAAUGUUUGACUCUUCGUUUUAUUAAAAAAGUUUACGAUUAAUAUUUUUGUUUUUAUUAGAUGAUAAAUCAUGAAUAGUACUUUGCGUGUGACUAAUUUUUUUUAAUUUCUUAAAUAAUUUUCAAAUAAGACAGAUGGUCAAUCGCUGGACACGGAAAUCGA
Molecule: microRNA precursor, 164 nt
Filed under: Oryza brachyantha (malo sina)
Lineage: Eukaryota; Viridiplantae; Streptophyta; Magnoliopsida; Poales; Poaceae
Description: MIR812 microRNA precursor family
Rfam family: MIR812 microRNA precursor family
Source: Rfam by way of RNAcentral